RNAcentral lists this ribosomal RNA (440 nucleotides) under uncultured bacterium. RNAcentral describes it as "partial 16S ribosomal RNA". It matches the Rfam family "Bacterial small subunit ribosomal RNA", at positions 338 to 795 of the family's 1533-position model. The record is from RNAcentral.
CCUACGGGUGGCAGCAGUAGGGAAUAUUGCUCAAUGGGGGAAACCCUGAUGCAGCAACGCCGCGUGGAUGAUGAAGUAUUUCGGAUUGUAAAGCUCUAUUUUUAGAGAAGAAAAUGACGGUAUCUAACGAAUAAGCACCGGCUAACUACGUGCCAGCAGCCGCGGUAAUACGGAGGGGGCAAGCGUUACCCGGAUUUACUGGGUGUAAAGAGAGCGUAGACGGGAUAGCAAGUCAGAUGUGAAAUGCUAGGGCUUAACCCUAGAACUGCAUUUGAAACUGUUCUUCUAGAGUAUAGGAGAGGUAGGUGGAAUGCCUGGUGUAGGGGUGAAAUGCGUAGAGAUGAGGAGGAAUACUCGUGGCGAAGGCGACUUGCUAGACCAUAACUGACGUUGAUGCGCGAAAGCGUGGGGAGCAAACAGGAUUAGAUACCCCAGUAGUC